RNAcentral lists this ribosomal RNA (514 nucleotides) under uncultured bacterium. RNAcentral describes it as "bacterial SSU rRNA". It matches the Rfam family "Bacterial small subunit ribosomal RNA", at positions 30 to 518 of the family's 1533-position model. The record is from RNAcentral.
CGAACGCUGGCGGCGUGCCUAAUACAUGCAAGUCGAACGGUCUUUCUAUGGAAGCUUGCUUCCACUGAGAAGAUAGUGGCGAACGGGUGAGUAACACGUGGGUAACCUGCCCAUAAGAGGGGGAUAACAUCCGGAAACGGGUGCUAAUACCGCAUAGUUUCUUGAUCGCAUGAUUGAGAAAGGAAAGACGGCCUUUGUGCUGUCGCUUAUGGAUGGACCCGCGGCGUAUUAGUUAGUUGGUGAGGUAACGGCUCACCAAGACGAUGAUACGUAGCCGACCUGAGAGGGUGAUCGGCCACAUUGGGACUGAGACACGGCCCAAACUCCUACGGGAGGCAGCAGUAGGGAAUCUUCCGCAAUGGACGAAAGUCUGACGGAGCAACGCCGCGUGAGUGAAAGAAGGUUUUCGGAUCGUAAAACUCUGUUGUCAGAGAAGAACAAGUUGGAGAGUAACUGCUCCAGCCUUGACGGUAUCUGACCAGAAAGCCACGGCUAACUACGUGCCAGCCGCGGC